CUUCAAUCCUUUUUCUCUACAAGAGUAAACUGCUUGACUUGGCAUUGCUGGUACCUCCUAGAAGAUAGAGAGAGCCUGGGGUCCUAAUCACAUCCUACUCUCCCAGGCUAUGCAAACGAGAUGGGAGCUGUAGUCCACUGCAUCUGAAAUAUUUCGGUUUACCUGUCCUUGUCCGGUAGUCCUAGGAUUAAUGUUCAUUGUAAACCAUUCUCGACUAAACGUGAAUAAAUGCAUCAUUCUUUUUUUUUUUUAAUUUAACCAGGAAGAUAUCU
Non-coding RNA from Pelobates cultripes (western spadefoot toad), 272 nucleotides. Lineage: Eukaryota; Metazoa; Chordata; Amphibia; Anura; Pelobatidae. The record is from the annotation of a GenBank genome assembly.